GGCCGGUGGCCGGGCCUUCGGCGGUCGGCGGCUUCCGGGCGGCCGCCGGCCGGGGCGUUGCCACGGUGCCGUUCGUGAUCGGUUUC
Molecule: transfer RNA, 86 nt
Filed under: Streptomyces diastaticus subsp. diastaticus
Lineage: Bacteria; Bacillati; Actinomycetota; Actinomycetes; Kitasatosporales; Streptomycetaceae
Also listed under: 1 other name
Description: tRNA-Pro(cgg)
Source: RNAcentral